This 301-nucleotide ribosomal RNA is filed under the name uncultured bacterium. RNAcentral's name for it is "partial 16S ribosomal RNA". It matches the Rfam family "Bacterial small subunit ribosomal RNA", at positions 509 to 809 of the family's 1533-position model. The record is from RNAcentral.
CAGUAGCCGCGGGAAUACGUAGGUGGCAAGCGUUGUCCGGAAUUAUUGGGCGUAAAGGGCUCGCAGGCGGUUUCUUAAGUCUGAUGUGAAAGCCCCCGGCUCAACCGGGGAGGGUCAUUGGAAACUGGGAAACUUGAGUGCAGAAGAGGAGAGUGGAGUUCCACGUGUAGCGGUGAAAUGCGUAGAGAUGUGGAGGAACACCAGUGGCGAGGGCGACUCUCUGGUCUGUAACUGACGCUGAGGAGCGAAAGCGUGGGGAGCGAACAGGAUUAGAUACCCCGGUAGUCCCUGUCUCUUAUAA